Schizosaccharomyces pombe (fission yeast) is the source of this 435-nucleotide non-coding RNA. NCBI's taxonomy places the organism in Eukaryota, Fungi, Ascomycota, Schizosaccharomycetes, Schizosaccharomycetales, Schizosaccharomycetaceae. The record is from the annotation of a GenBank genome assembly.
GCAGUUGCGAGAUGGAAUAAGGAAAGCAUACCUAUUAUGGCAUCACUUUCGUCAACGACAGGAAGGUUACUAAAUUUACCUUCGAUCAUGCGCUCAAGAGCCGUGCUUACACGAAGGGAAGCCAAAGCACAAUCUGGAUGGGGAGUCAUGACGCGUAUGACAGAGCUGCGAUAUGGGUCAAGGCCAGCUGCUAGCACACGCAAAACUACGUCGUGAGCGGUAAAUACACCAGAUACGGCUCCAUUGUCCAUUACCAAAACAGCAGAAACGCCAGACCUAGCCAUAGACUCGGUCGCUUCGGCAACAGUAGUGCGAGUACCUACAAGAAAGGGCUCUUCUGAAGAAUCAAUGAGAGACAUAAUUUCAAGCCCUGAUGCUUUCUUUUUUAAGGAUUCGACAUAUUCAAGAAACUCAGCAGCAUGAUUACCAGAGACU